UGAGGACACGACAACAAAUCAUUUGUCCCAGUACACAAAUAAGUAGUACGGGUGUCUGAAGUGAAAAAUCGACAUUGAUAUAUUUUUGUUUACAGUCUGUGUUUGAAAGUUGAUUUUAAAGGAGUAAAGUGUUGAUCUUUUGAAAUAUAUGAUUAUUAGGGACGAAUUGGAUUUUAUUUAACAUGAAAAAGUUUUUAAUGUAUUAUUAAAAAUACGGUUGUAAUUUUAGUGAAAAUGUACAAUUCAUUAAUAUGGGCCAGUGUUUAAGUUUGGAUCAAGAGGAAUUGAAAGCACGUGCCAAAAGUGAUGUUAUAGACCGACAGUUACAGUCAUGGGCUAAAGAAGAGCAAAAUGUCAUUAAAAUUUUAUUGCUUGGUGCAGCAGAGAGUGGCAAAAGUACUUUGGUAAAGCAAAUGAAAAUAAUUCACCAUGAUGGAUUUUCUAAUGAUGAAUUAAUGUCAUUUAAGCCAGCAGUCCUAGAUAAUUUACUGGGUUCAAUGAAGUAUGUCCUGACAGGAAUGGGACUGUUACGUAUUAAUCUGGAAAAUCCUAAAUACAGAUCUCAUGCAGAAAAAGUCCUCACCUGUAUCUGUUGUUUUGAUAAAAAACAGAACAUGUAUCAAGAUGUAUAUGCGUCACUGAAAUACCUGUGGCAGGACCGAGGGGUACGACUGGCUGUGUCUCGAGGUUAUGAAUAUGAACUGAAUGAUUCGGCUAUAUAUUACUUUGAAAAUAUGGACAGAAUUUGUCAUCAUAACUUUGUACCUAAUGCCAAGGAUGUUCUGCGAGCCAGAGUACGCACAACUGGAAUCUUAGAAACAUGUUUUAAGAUUAAUAACUUUGUUAUACGCAUGUUUGAUGUAGGAGGUCAGAGGUCAGAGAGGAGGAAGUGGAUCCAUUGUUUUGGGGAUGUAAAAGCUGUGUUAUUUGUGGCAGCAUUAAGUUGUUAUGAUAUGUACUUGUUUGAAGAUCCUGAUGUGAAUCGACUUGAAGAAAGUUUGAAUUUAUUCAGAGGUAUCUGUAACAAUAGGUUCUUCAGGGAGACUUGUAUGAUUUUAUUUUUGAACAAAGUGGAUCUUUUUAAAGAUAAAAUACGCCAUUCUGAGAGACAUCUGAGGAACUUCUUUCCUGAUUAUCGAGGUAAAGACCGUGAUUUUGAUAGUGCAGCUCAUUUUAUACGAAUAGAAUUCCAGCGUCAGAAUCAUGUGCCAUCAAAAGUCAUCUAUCCACAUUUUACCACUGCAACAGACACUAGCAAUAUUCAGGUUGUGUUUCAAGUUGUCAUGGACUCCAUACUUAAGGAUAAUCUCAGAAGUAGUACAUUGUUGUGAUCUUUACAAGGUCAUGUCGAGGUUACAUCAAUGUGGUUAAGGAACAUUCCAGUGUUGUCAUGGACACUAUAGUUAAGGAUAAUCUCAGAAGUAAUACAUUGUUGUGAUCCUUACAAGGUCAUGUCAAGGUUACAUCAACGUGGUUAAGGAACAUUCCAGUUUUGUAAUGGACUCCAUACAUAAGAAUAAUCUCAGAAGUAGUACAUUGUUGUGAUCUAUACAAGCUCAUGUCAAGGUUACAUCAAUGUGGUUAAGUAACAUUUUAGUUUGUAAUAUAAUAUUUAAAUUAAUAAUUAUUACUUAAUUUUCUUUUUUUUUUCUUUUGAUAGAUUAUCAAAAAGGUAUCUAAUUGAAAAAGUAAUUAAGAAGAAGUAAGUUAAGAUCCUCAAUCAGGUUUUUUGCCCGCAAUUUUAUUGUGUUUACUGCAAAAAUGUAGUUUUGAAUUAAUUUUUUUAAUUUUGAUUUUGAUGGGUUAUUCUUUAUGAUUAUAAUGGAAUUCUUUGCUUGUGAAUUUAUAUAUGAUUUGAUAAAGACUUUAUGGUUUCAAUGGUGAAAGGGAUUAAAUAGUCUAAUAGGAAAUAUCUUCCACAUAUACAGUGU
Molecule: RNA transcript, 1931 nt
Organism: Mytilus californianus (California mussel)
Lineage: Eukaryota; Metazoa; Mollusca; Bivalvia; Mytilida; Mytilidae
Gene name: guanine nucleotide-binding protein G(o) subunit alpha-like
Exons: 10
Source: RefSeq, a predicted model, not a curated record